UAUUGAUUAUUGAGAUCUUCAUUGAGCCCACUUCUCAUCUUCAGAGUCUGCCAGUGUUUCUCUCCACAGAGCUGAGCGUCUCGUUAGCAGCCCUCUCCCCUUUAUCACCCCCGCCACCCUGAAACGCACGACAUUCAGCAUCACAGCAGCAGCACUUCAAACACUCUGCAGCCACGGGGCUCCGGCUCGUCACUGCAUUUUUAAUUAGACGGGAACGGAUCCCCCGCUGAAGCGACGGAGUUCACCGGAGUUCACCGGCAGGUCGUCGUUUGAUGUUUCCUCGCCGCUGCCAGAGCUUCCUGUUUCCCCUGAGCUAACGGAGGAGCUCCCAUCCACAUAACUCCUCAGCCAGCAUCUCUUUUGUCAGCCGUUUCAUUCAAUCAUUAAGUGUGAAAUAGCUAUGAGUCAAAGUCACCUGUGAGAGCCAACAAAAUGGCUUCUGUCUUCUGGAAGGAGCAGAACUGUGAUGUGAUGGACCGCCUGGAAAUGAAAAAGGCCCAAGGCGAGACUCCAGGACGCCGCCUCCACGUCCACAGACAGAUUACAGACCUUGAUGGUGGACGCUCAGCAGGAAGACUUUAAACCUGAUCAGGCAGCUCACCUGAGGACAUUCAUAUACAGCAACACACUACAGAGAGUCUCUUUUGUUGUUGAUGAAAAUAAUAAGUGUGUGUUCAGAAAGAAAAUAAACAUUUGUUAGCAGGCUGUGUAUGUUUGAACAUUGUUUCUUUUAAUUUUAGUGUUUGGUGGCUUUUAUAUAUACUGCUUUGUCUGCAGGAAGAAAGCUGGAGACAAAGUUUCCAAAUAAUCUCAACUUUAUACAAAAACAACUGAAGGAAAGUUGAAACUGUCAGAGAGAAAAAUAUUGUAAACCUUUACUGAGACUCAGUGUUUCUGCAUGGAGUGUAAAUAAUGAACAGAAUAAAAUCUUCAUUACUGUGCAA
Molecule: long non-coding RNA, 944 nt
Organism: Micropterus salmoides (largemouth bass)
Lineage: Eukaryota; Metazoa; Chordata; Actinopteri; Centrarchiformes; Centrarchidae
Exons: 2
Source: RefSeq, a predicted model, not a curated record